Molecule: ribosomal RNA, 310 nt
Filed under: Lezina concolor
Lineage: Eukaryota; Metazoa; Arthropoda; Insecta; Orthoptera; Gryllacrididae
Description: eukaryotic LSU rRNA
Rfam family: Eukaryotic large subunit ribosomal RNA
Source: RNAcentral
ACCCGUCUUGAAACACGGACCAAGGAGUCUAACAUGUGCGCGAGUCAUUGGGAAUGGAAACCUAAAGGCGCAAUGAAAGUGAAGGCCUCGCCUCGCGCGGGCAGAGGGGAGAUGGAGCGAGACCGCCGGUACCGGCUCCCGCAUCCCCGGGGCGUCUCGUUCUCACUGCGAGUUGAGGCGCACCCAGAGCGUACACGUUGGGACCCGAAAGAUGGUGAACUAUGCCUGGCCAGGACGAGGUCAGGGGAAACCCUGGUGGAGGUCCGUAGCGAUUCUGACGUGCAAAUCGAUCGUCGGAGCUGGGUAUAGG